AACGAACGCUGGCGGCAGGCCUAACACAUGCAAGUCGAGCGCCCCGCAAGGGGAGCGGCGGACGGGUGAGUAACGCGUGGGAACGUACCCUUGCUACGGAAUAGCCUCGGGAAACUGGGAGUAAUACCGUAUGUGCCCUUCGGGGGAAAGAUUUAUCGGCAAAGGAUCGGCCCGCGUUGGAUUAGGUAGUUGGUGGGGUAAUGGCCUACCAAGCCGACGAUCCAUAGCUGGUUUGAGAGGAUGAUCAGCCACACUGGGACUGAGACACGGCCCAGACUCCUACGGGAGGCAGCAGUGGGGAAUCUUAGACAAUGGGCGCAAGCCUGAUCUAGCCAUACCGCGUGAGCGAUGAAGGCCUUAGGGUUGUAAAGCUCUUUCAGUGGGGAAGAUAAUGACUGUACCCACAGAAGAAGCCCCGGCUAACUCCGUG
Molecule: ribosomal RNA, 430 nt
Filed under: uncultured bacterium
Lineage: Bacteria
Description: bacterial SSU rRNA
Rfam family: Bacterial small subunit ribosomal RNA
Source: RNAcentral